UACGUAGGGUGCGAGCGUUAAUCGGAAUUACUGGGCGUAAAGCGUGCGCAGGCGGUUUUGUAAGACAGGCGUGAAAUCCCCGAGCUUAACUUGGGAAUGGCGCUUGUGACUGCAAGGCUAGAGUAUGUCAGAGGGGGGUAGAAUUCCACGUGUAGCAGUGAAAUGCGUAGAGAUGUGGAGGAAUACCGAUGGCGAAGGCAGCCCCCUGGGACGUCACUGACGCUCAGGCACGAAAGCGUGGGGAGCAAACAGG
This 253-nucleotide ribosomal RNA is filed under the name uncultured bacterium. RNAcentral's name for it is "partial 16S ribosomal RNA". It matches the Rfam family "Bacterial small subunit ribosomal RNA", at positions 524 to 776 of the family's 1533-position model. The record is from RNAcentral.